This 459-nucleotide ribosomal RNA is filed under the name uncultured bacterium. RNAcentral describes it as "partial 16S ribosomal RNA". It matches the Rfam family "Bacterial small subunit ribosomal RNA", at positions 338 to 795 of the family's 1533-position model. The record is from RNAcentral.
CCUACGGGUGGCAGCAGUGAGGAAUAUUCGUCAAUGGCCGGAAGGCUGAACCAGCCAAGCCGCGUGAGGGAGGAAGGCGCAGAGCGUCGCAGACCUCUUUUGCCGGGGGACAAAAGGCCGGACGGGUCCGGUUCUGAGGGUACCCGGAUAAAAAGCAUCGGCUAACUCCGUGACAGCAGCCGAGGUACUACGGGGGAUGCGAGCGUUAUCCGGUUUCAUAGGGUUUAAAGGUUGCGACGGCGGGCCUUUAAGCCGGCGGUGAUAGCGCGGGGCUCAACCCCGCCGAGCCGGCGGAACUGGGGGCCUAGAGUGCGGCGGAGGCAUGCGGAAUGCGCGGUGUAGCGGUGAAAUGCAUAGAUAUCGCGCAGAACCCCGAUUGCGAAGGCAGCGUGCCGUGCAGCCACUGACGCUGAGGCACGAAAGCGCGGGGAUCGAACAGGAUUAGAUACCCGUGUAGUC